Non-coding RNA from Zonotrichia albicollis (white-throated sparrow), 1453 nucleotides. The record is from RefSeq and is a predicted model, not a curated record. Lineage: Eukaryota; Metazoa; Chordata; Aves; Passeriformes; Passerellidae.
AGGGGCCCUUUGUCACCUGCAGGAGUCGGCAUUGUCACCUGAGUGGGCGGGACUUAGAGGGGAGGGGCCCUUUAUCACCUGCAUGAGUCCACAUUGCCAACUUGGGGACGGGACUUAUCAUGGUAUGGCCAUUGUCACCUAGAUGGGCAGAGUUUGGCAGGGUGUGGCCAUGGUCACCUAGGUGGGUGGAGCUUGCAGGGUGUGGCCAUUGUCCCCUGGGCUGGCUCCUGAAAUUCCGCAUUGUGCAGGAUGCCUCCCAGACCCAAGCUGGCGCCAGUAGCAACUCGGGCUGGUUUGACAGUCCUGCAAUCUGCCGUCAGGAACCGGGACUGGUGUUGCUUGUUGUAUGCUACACUAAGCCCAAUGAGAAGAAGGGGCACUGUGCUCUUUUUGCAACAAUAGCCUUGGAAGCUGUUCCACCUCUCGGCCUGGCUGGACUUCUCCUGAGUUUCAGAGGGUCUCCCACAGAACACCUUCACCUGUUUUACAACCACUGUGACAGACAGACUGAGAUGUAAGAAGCCUCUCCAUCAAGGACUGAGACAUGAAACCCCUAUGUGAGAAGGCUCCUUUCUGCUCCUUACAAGGACUGGGACUGAAAUCCCCAACCCAGAGGAGGUGUGUGUGGGAGGCAAGCUGACCAAACCAAGAUGUUUGCCUGCAGCUUGUGACCACUGGACCAAGAAAACAAUGGCUCUCAUUUACUGCUGAGAACAUGGACUAACUGUUACAUCUAUUCCUUAUUGUAUCUGUCUCCUCCACCCCCCCCUCACAAUUUUCAAUAGAAUUAUCAUAAUAAAAAUCUCUGAGUUAGCUGGAGAUUUUGAGAUCUCCCCAAUGUAACAGGCGGAUCCUCGACUGGACUUGACCAAAGGACUUCGUCUCUACAUUUGGUAGCUAUACCUGCCCUCCCCACCCCCUUUUCUUCUCUCUUUCUCUGUCUUUUUCUCUCUCUUAAUCUCUCUAUCGCAUUUUGCUGUGGUCAUUCAAUGAAGGUGCAUUUGUUUUGAUUAUUACUGCAAAUCCCCUGUGCCUUUUUGGUUCUUUGCACCCUGAGAUCACCCCUACAAACCAUCACAUCACCCAUUCACUAGGACGGAUUGUAACAGGCCUGGAGUGGCCAGCUGGCUCCUGAAGUUCCGCAAUACAUAGGAUGCCUCCCAGACCCAAGCUGGCACCAGUGCCAAAUCAAGGUACUUUGAUAGUGGCAAGUGCCUCCUGUAAAAAGCCAUUAGGAACCUGGACUAAAAGUCCAGGAACCUGGACUUUUGUUUGCCAGGGAAAAGGGCCAGCACUGGUGUUCAGGGGCCUGUGGCCCAGAGUGGCUGGCUGCAUGCUGAAAAUUGUGCAUCAUGCCAGAUGGCAGAGGGUCAGGGUUAGGAGGUGCUGGGCAUUCCUAGGAGCACGCUGUCUGAGAGACACCAGCCAAGUGCCAGCAGGACCUUCCCAGCUG